Molecule: long non-coding RNA, 783 nt
Organism: Mandrillus leucophaeus (drill)
Lineage: Eukaryota; Metazoa; Chordata; Mammalia; Primates; Cercopithecidae
Exons: 5
Source: RefSeq, a predicted model, not a curated record
GGUUCUCCAACGGAGGAGCUUUUUAACCUCUUUCCGGUGAGGUGGGAACUCAUCUUCAUGAUCGAAUUUAAAAGAACAAUGGAACCCUGACUACGUUUCAACAAAAAUAAAACUUGUUUUUUUCCCUCCUAUUGGGUGUUGGCUUUUAACUCUUUCAAAGCCGUUUUUGAAACGGCUGCAGUGAUACAUGCGAAGGUGACUUAGAGAUUAAAAUUAAUUUGGUUGCUGAUGGUUCUGAACAAAUAGAGUUCUUUUAUUUGAGGUAUGCCAUUUUGAAGACUGAGACAUUGGAGUUUUAUCCUUGAGGAUAAAAGAAAUCUUUGGGAAAGUCAGUAUUUUAUAUAGCAAAAAUAAUGAACCUCAAACUGAAUCCUCUAAAGGCCCCAUACAAUGAAGUAGACAUUGGUGGAAGCAUUUACACCCAGUCAGCUUGAAGAGUUUCAAAUGGACCCUACCACUGAGAAAUCAAGAUGGCAGUCUACUAUGGGGAAUUGAGAAAAAUGGAUUAAUACAAGAGUCCUGUGAUAAUACACAACCAAGACAGGGUUCUUUUAACAUGGAUUCCAUGCAGUGAAUGAAGACAUAGGUUUCUUAUCCAACACAAAUGGACAGUGGAUUUGACUUUCUAAAGACUUUUUUUUGUGGACAUUUUGACAUUUGGAGAAGGAGGAUGGCACACUAACACAGAUAAUAGUUUUUAUACCUGGAAUUUUUUGUAGUUUGAUUUGUAUGAGUAUGACCUCUUGGAAUGUUAACUUUAAUAAAAUUUAUAACACUUUAAAA